AAAAUUUUAGUUUAAAUAUUUAAAAUAUUUUUUUUACAAGAAAAGGAUAAUAUAAUUUAUUAAAUUUUA
RNAcentral lists this transfer RNA (69 nucleotides) under Anisopteromalus calandrae. RNAcentral describes it as "tRNA-Val". Lineage: Eukaryota; Metazoa; Arthropoda; Insecta; Hymenoptera; Pteromalidae. The record is from RNAcentral.